This 1471-nucleotide ribosomal RNA is filed under the name Vibrio natriegens. Its description in RNAcentral is "bacterial SSU rRNA". It matches the Rfam family "Bacterial small subunit ribosomal RNA". Lineage: Bacteria; Pseudomonadati; Pseudomonadota; Gammaproteobacteria; Vibrionales; Vibrionaceae. The record is from RNAcentral.
GGGGGGGGCAGGCCUAACACAUGCAAGUCGAGCGGAAACGAGUUAACUGAACCUUCGGGGGACGUUAACGGCGUCGAGCGGCGGACGGGUGAGUAAUGCCUAGGAAAUUGCCCUGAUGUGGGGGAUAACCAUUGGAAACGAUGGCUAAUACCGCAUGAUGCCUACGGGCCAAAGAGGGGGACCUUCGGGCCUCUCGCGUCAGGAUAUGCCUAGGUGGGAUUAGCUAGUUGGUGAGGUAAGGGCUCACCAAGGCGACGAUCCCUAGCUGGUCUGAGAGGAUGAUCAGCCACACUGGAACUGAGACACGGUCCAGACUCCUACGGGAGGCAGCAGUGGGGAAUAUUGCACAAUGGGCGCAAGCCUGAUGCAGCCAUGCCGCGUGUGUGAAGAAGGCCUUCGGGUUGUAAAGCACUUUCAGUCGUGAGGAAGGUAGUGUAGUUAAUAGCUGCAUUAUUUGACGUUAGCGACAGAAGAAGCACCGGCUAACUCCGUGCCAGCAGCCGCGGUAAUACGGAGGGUGCGAGCGUUAAUCGGAAUUACUGGGCGUAAAGCGCAUGCAGGUGGUUUGUUAAGUCAGAUGUGAAAGCCCGGGGCUCAACCUCGGAAUAGCAUUUGAAACUGGCAGACUAGAGUACUGUAGAGGGGGGUAGAAUUUCAGGUGUAGCGGUGAAAUGCGUAGAGAUCUGAAGGAAUACCGGUGGCGAAGGCGGCCCCCUGGACAGAUACUGACACUCAGAUGCGAAAGCGUGGGGAGCAAACAGGAUUAGAUACCCUGGUAGUCCACGCCGUAAACGAUGUCUACUUGGAGGUUGUGGCCUUGAGCCGUGGCUUUCGGAGCUAACGCGUUAAGUAGACCGCCUGGGGAGUACGGUCGCAAGAUUAAAACUCAAAUGAAUUGACGGGGGCCCGCACAAGCGGUGGAGCAUGUGGUUUAAUUCGAUGCAACGCGAAGAACCUUACCUACUCUUGACAUCCAGAGAACUUUUCAGAGAUGAAUUGGUGCCUUCGGGAACUCUGAGACAGGUGCUGCAUGGCUGUCGUCAGCUCGUGUUGUGAAAUGUUGGGUUAAGUCCCGCAACGAGCGCAACCCUUAUCCUUGUUUGCCAGCGAGUAAUGUCGGGAACUCCAGGGAGACUGCCGGUGAUAAACCGGAGGAAGGUGGGGACGACGUCAAGUCAUCAUGGCCCUUACGAGUAGGGCUACACACGUGCUACAAUGGCGCAUACAGAGGGCGGCCAACUUGCGAAAGUGAGCGAAUCCCAAAAAGUGCGUCGUAGUCCGGAUUGGAGUCUGCAACUCGACUCCAUGAAGUCGGAAUCGCUAGUAAUCGUGGAUCAGAAUGCCACGGUGAAUACGUUCCCGGGCCUUGUACACACCGCCCGUCACACCAUGGGAGUGGGCUGCAAAAGAAGUAGGUAGUUUAACCUUCGGGGGGACGCUUACCACUUUGUGGUUCAUGACUGGGGGGGGG